UUUGGUUCGUGACUAACUUUAGGCAGCCACAAAAAGUGUGGCGAGGUUCCCUGAGCUUGCCAUACUUUUUUUCGCCGCAUCUGGGGCGCUCGUUUUCGAUGCCCCAGCACCGCUACGCGCCGCACUUCGCCCCCUUCUCUCCCUCUCAUGCCGCUGGUUGAUCUCUCGUCAUCUCCUCCUCCAAGCACGGAUCUUCUCGUCGUCUCCUCCAAGCACGGUGAUGUCCCUCGUAUUUCUGCCACCCGGUUUUCUUGGCUCCCCUGUAUUCUUCUUCGCUCCUCCGCGUAGAUCUGCCCGUCGUUUCUUCUUUGAUUGUGCGGGCCGACGGCACCACACACGCACCCACCCCCAUCCUGCAGCAGAUCCGCACGGCACCACACACGCAGAUCCCCACGGCACCCUACAGCAGACCUCUGCAUUUCACAGUCCCCAGGCCGCUAGGGGCUAGAUGGCUAGUCGGAGCGUCGGGCUCUGCUGCUAGGGGUAGCGUCAGGCUCUGCCGUCACAUCUAGGAGACGCUUGGUGUGAAGGAGAUGUCUGUACGUGCCAUGGCAUCUAGGAGCUUGGAUGGCUGGUGUGAAGGACUAGUACGUUGUCUGUUGAAUGCUAGUGAUGGCUGGUGUGAAGGAGCAGCAGCAAGCCAAGUACUACUACUCUGAAACUUUGUAAAAAUAUAUCAGGUUCCUGUUUUAGCUGGCCGCUAGCUGAUGCAAAGGUGUGCUGGAUCAGAAACCUGUUUUAGCAGCUGGAAUGUAGGAAAGAAUAUUUCUUAUUUUAGCAGCUGGAAUGUAGGAAUGCAUAGUUCUUCUAAUAGUUCUCUCCCUCAGAGCCUAACGAUUUAUUUUUUUCUUGUGCUUGUGCAGGACCAGGAGCACUGAAAUUCUAUCUCAACCGGUUCUGCCGACUGGGUAACUUGAAUUCUAAAGGUAACUGAAAUUCUAGCCUCUGAAACUUGCAUUUUGGGUAUUUUAAAGAUUGUAAUUAGUUUCUAAUUUGUCUAGAUGGGUGUGAAGGAGAUGUAUCUUCAAUAUUACAAUAGUUACAUCCAGUACCUACGAAGAAGAAGGGUGCUUAUUUACAUUACCAUUUGUGUGGUUUUUCUUUGGUACAAACUGAAUAGAUUACAUAGGAAGAGUGUUAAAUAUGGUCCUUUGUUACAACGAGAUUUGGAACGAGAGAGGCGGCUCAACCGGUUGUAUAAUGGGACAGAAGCCAAUUGUAUUAGUGAGUUGCGCAUGCGCAAAUUUGUUUUCCAUAGGUUAUGUAGCCAUUUAAGGUCUCGUAGGUUGUUAGAGGAUACUGUCAAUGUCUCUGUUGAAGAACAAGUUGCUAUGUUCUUAAAGUUUGUUGGUCAUAGAUGGACAAAUAGGUCAGUUGGGUUUGAAUUCCUGCGGUCCGGAGAAACAGUUAGCAGGUACUUCAACCUUGUUUUAGAUGCUCUAUGUGUCAUGUCACGUGACCUCAUUACCAUGAGAACCACAGGGACACAUCCAAAGAUAUCUAGUAGUCCGAGAAGAUUUCACCCGUACUUUGAG
Molecule: long non-coding RNA, 1535 nt
Filed under: Zea mays
Lineage: Eukaryota; Viridiplantae; Streptophyta; Magnoliopsida; Poales; Poaceae
Description: long non-coding RNA (ZMAY_LNC003250)
Source: RNAcentral